UCUAGAAGCUUACCUAAACAUACGAAUAGGUAACAUCUUCUUUUUUCCUCCUCAUCGAUCAAAGACCGGUCCGUCCCCAAUCGACGGCGCGAGUUUCUCCAAAGACUGCGUCCGCAGAGAGACCCGAUCGCCUUUCUUCCCACCCAAUUCCACCAGCCACUCCCUCGAUCCAUCUAUAAUCGAUGGAUUCAACACCAGGCACCAGCUCCAAGUAAAAUCAACGCGCGAUUCGUGGUGUUCUCCAUUCGCAUCUAGUCAACCGAGCGGAGGAGAGCCAAAUCCGCCCCCAAAAUCGCUCCUUGUUUUUUCCUUGGGUGUCAGAGAUCUGAAGGAGGAGGAGCAGCGAUGUGUCCGCUCAGAGUGCUGCUGAUCUUUCUCUCCGCCACUUUGGCUGGUUUCUUUCUUCUGAGGAACCUCAAGACUCAGUCUGACCUAAUCGAAGAGCCCCUGGAAGACGAUUUCCCAAAAGAGCAACUUUCUCUUUCCAACAAGGUUUGUUCGAAGAUUUAUUCGGGCUUCUGGACAUGCGUCGAUAUGGCGAGCGGGAGGUACUUGUGGAGGAUCAUGGCGCCUGCUGCUACCAAGGAGAAGAAGGCUUGUUGAUGAACGUGAGGAGAAAUUAUUGUGGCCUGCCUCUUUUCUUUCAUCUUUCUUUGCUGAGAACCAAAAAACAAGAAGAAAACCAAAACAUAUAAGUACUGUUGAUUUAUCACAGUAUUGUUUGUAUCCAACAAAAUUUUUAACUGAUGAUGUAUAUUUUGUUGUAUACACAUUUCAUAACUUUUUAUAAUCUUAAUUCAUUAUA
Zingiber officinale is the source of this 805-nucleotide long non-coding RNA. RefSeq lists it as uncharacterized. NCBI's taxonomy places the organism in Eukaryota, Viridiplantae, Streptophyta, Magnoliopsida, Zingiberales, Zingiberaceae. The record is from RefSeq and is a predicted model, not a curated record. The transcript is spliced from 2 exons.